This 219-nucleotide unclassified non-coding RNA is filed under the name Hevea brasiliensis (rubber tree). Lineage: Eukaryota; Viridiplantae; Streptophyta; Magnoliopsida; Malpighiales; Euphorbiaceae. The record is from RNAcentral.
AUAAAAUCAACCAAAAUUCUAAAGAAACCAGGGCUUAAUCCAAAAUAGAAAAUAAUCCAACCAAUAAACAACACUGCACUGCACUAGCUAAGAGGGACACUUCUGAUGAAAACACCACACUAUAUCUAAUAGGAGAGCACUGCCGGUCUCUGCUGGUCUCAAUAAAACAAUAAAAAACCAUACCGAGUAACAUAACCUUUGAGCCAAAGACUAAUCUGG